AGAGUUUGAUCAUGGCUCAGGGCGAACGCUGGCGGCGUGCUUCACACAUGCAAGUCGAACGAGGAGGCUCCCUUCGGGGAGUAGUACUAGUGGCGAACGGGUGAGUAACGCGUAGGAAGGUAUCCUUCAGACCGGGACAACCACUGGAAACGGUGGCUAAUACCGGAUAAGACCGAGAGGUGAAAGCGAGCUACGGCUUGGCUGGAGGAGCUGCCUGCGACCCAUCAGGUAGUUGGUAGGGUAAAGGCCUACCAAGCCGACGACGGGUAGCCGGCGUGAGAGCGUGGCCGGCCACAGGGGGACUGAGACACGGCCCCCACUCCUACGGGAGGCAGCAGUGGGGAAUAUUGGACAAUGGGGGAAACCCUGAUCCAGCGACGCCGCGUGGAGGACGAAGUCUUUCGGGACGUAAACUCCUGAACUUAUCGAACAAUAAAGUGAGAAGGGAAUGGCUCACCGAUGAGGGUAGAUAAGGAAAAGCCCCGGCUAACUACGUGCCAGCAGCCGCGGUAAUACGUAGGGGGCGAGCGUUGCCCGGAAUUACUGGGCGUAAAGGGGGUGUAGGCGGUCUCUUAAGUCAGAUGUAAAAGACCCUGGCUCAACCAGGGGAUUGCGUCUGAAACUGGGAGACUUGAGGUUACUAGAGGGAGACGGAAUUACCAGUGUAGGGGUGAAAUCCGUAGAUACUGGUAAGAAGGCCGGUGGUGAAGACGGUCUCCUGGGGUAAACCUGACGCUGAGGCCCGAAAGCUAGGG
This 755-nucleotide ribosomal RNA is filed under the name uncultured bacterium. RNAcentral's name for it is "bacterial SSU rRNA". It matches the Rfam family "Bacterial small subunit ribosomal RNA", at positions 8 to 765 of the family's 1533-position model. The record is from RNAcentral.